RNAcentral lists this ribosomal RNA (496 nucleotides) under uncultured bacterium. Its description in RNAcentral is "partial 16S ribosomal RNA". It matches the Rfam family "Bacterial small subunit ribosomal RNA", at positions 28 to 506 of the family's 1533-position model. The record is from RNAcentral.
GAUGAACGCUGGCGGCGUGCCUAAUACAUGCAAGUCGAGCGAACGGACGAGAAGCUUGCUUCUCUGAUGUUAGCGGCGGACGGGUGAGUAACACGUGGAUAACCCACCUAUAAGACUGGGAUAACUUCGGGAAACCGGAGCUAAAACCGGAUAAUAUUUUGAACCGCAUGGUUCAAAAGUAAAAGACGGUCUUCCUGUCACUUAUAGAUGGAUCCGCGCUGCAUUAGCUAGUUGGUAAGGUAACGGCUUACCAAGGCAACGAUGCAUAGCCGACCUGAGAGGGUGAUCGGCCACACUGGAACUGAGACACGGUCCAGACUCCUACGGGAGGCAGCAGUAGGGAAUCUUCCGCAAUGGGCGAAAGCCUGACGGGGCAACGCCGCGUGAGUGAUGAAGGUCUUCGGAUCGUAAAACUCUGUUAUUAGGGAAGAACAUAUGUGUAAGUAACUGUGCACAUCUUGACGGUACCUAAUCAGAAAGCCACGGCUAACUACGU